GUGCUCACUUCAGCAGCACAUAUACUAAAACUAGAAUGACACAGAGAAGACCGGCAUGGCCCUGCUCCAGGAGGACACGCAAAUCAGGGCAGCAGCCCCAUUUUGC
Molecule: small nuclear RNA, 106 nt
Organism: Equus asinus (donkey)
Lineage: Eukaryota; Metazoa; Chordata; Mammalia; Perissodactyla; Equidae
Source: Ensembl